UGACGGUACCACUUGAAUAAGCUCCGGCUAACUACGUGCCAGCAGCCGCGGUAAUACGUAGGGAGCAAGCGUUAUCCGGAUUUACUGGGUGUAAAGGGCGUGUAGGCGGGACUGCAAGUCAGAUGUGAAAGCACGGGGCUCAACUCCGUGUCUGCAUUUGAAACUGUAGUUCUUGAGUGUUGGAGAGGCUAACGGAAUUCCUAGUGUAGCGGUGAAAUGCGUAGAUAUUAGGAGGAACACCAGUGGCGAAGGCGGUUAGCUGGACAGUAACUGACGCUGAGGCGCGAAAGCGUGGGUAGCAAACAGGAUUAGAUACCCUG
Molecule: ribosomal RNA, 320 nt
Filed under: uncultured bacterium
Lineage: Bacteria
Description: bacterial SSU rRNA
Rfam family: Bacterial small subunit ribosomal RNA
Source: RNAcentral